Molecule: long non-coding RNA, 1199 nt
Filed under: Coturnix japonica (Japanese quail)
Lineage: Eukaryota; Metazoa; Chordata; Aves; Galliformes; Phasianidae
Description: lncRNA (ENSCJPG00005010365.1)
Source: RNAcentral
AGGAAAUAAGAACGAAAGGGUGGCAGAGUUCAUGGACAGUAACUCUCCCUUUGAGCUGGAGACCUCUCUCCAGACUUGUUUAUUAUAGUUUUGUACUGAUUCAACUGCAGGUUUAGCAGCAAAAUGAAAAGCUGUCUUGUUUAAAGGAAGAUGUAACUCAUUUUGUGAACAAGAACUGCAAACAGCUGCUUCCAUAUGUUGCUACUAUCUGGAUAAAUUCUUUGUUAAAUGGCAUCUUUAAGAUUAAACUCUGUGCUGAAAAUAAACACAACAAAAGUGUGAGAUGAUUGAGGAGAACAGUGACCCACUCCAGGAGAAAAUACACUUUGUUUCAGCUGAUGAUGAAUCUGUAUGACCCAGACAGCACGUUCUAAUUUUGACUAUCAUUGCAUUCUGCACUAUUUUGACAUAUAAUAUAAAUGUCUGUGAUAAGGGGUAAAAGGCACUUUGGCCCAUCUGUGCUAGUUCUAAACCUGUUUGUCCUACUUUACUUUGGGAUGAUCUAGCCUUUUUUUUUUUUUUUUUUUUUUUUUUUUUUUAAAUUGAAUUUUUAACAUAGUUUGGACCUACUUCUUUGUUCUGCAGUAUCUCUGUUAGAAAAUGUUUUAAGUACAACCCUCUGUUAGCCAGAUUGAAACACGGUUUGGAAAAGUGUCGGGGUGUUCUCUUUGAAGUUGAAGGGAGAUGCAUCUGCCUUGAAUGAGAUCAAGAUCAAAUCACCUGAGCAAAUGGCUAACUAUUUAAAUAGUCCCUUGGAAGUUCAGUGUGGUUUGAAGCCUUCUGUAGAGGAGAAAGACUUCAUGCUUCAGUUUCAGCAAUGAAGCACUGUCCCUUCGUAACAUUAAUUGAAGAAGGUGUGGGAAGGCAAUGGAAGAGGAGCCCAGAAAACAAUUUGUUUAUUAUAAGCAGGUCAGUCCUCCGGGGAAUUCAUGGAAUCAUGCAGUGGGAGAGGACAAUCACGGCACUGAAAUGGGUUGUUUUUGAAAGUGAUGUUCCUGGUAAAGGAAUGAGGCAAGGGUCUGGAGGAUCUGACAUUAAGAAACAUGGCAGUGACCAAUAGAAAGAAGAAAGUACAACUGCUCAUGGGUCUUUCAAUCUUCUCAUUGAUAGAUCUUAUGAAAAAUUGCCUAAGAAUUUAUCUUCCCUCCCAACAAAAUAUAAUAGUAUUUAUUGCAAUAAAAAAUAAAAUGCCAAGAACA